RNAcentral lists this ribosomal RNA (433 nucleotides) under uncultured bacterium. RNAcentral's name for it is "partial 16S ribosomal RNA". It matches the Rfam family "Bacterial small subunit ribosomal RNA", at positions 29 to 507 of the family's 1533-position model. The record is from RNAcentral.
AACGAACGCUGGCGGCAGGCCUAACACAUGCAAGUCGAGCGGACCCUUCGGGGUUAGCGGCGGACGGGUGAGUAACGCGUGGGAACGUGCCCUUUGCUUCGGAAUAGCCCUGGGAAACUGGGAGUAAUACCGGAUACGCCCUUUUGGGGAAAGAUUUAUCGGCGAAGGAUCGGCCCGCGUUGGAUUAGGUAGUUGGUGGGGUAAUGGCCUACCAAGCCGACGAUCCAUAGCUGGUUUGAGAGGAUGAUCAGCCACACUGGGACUGAGACACGGCCCAGACUCCUACGGGAGGCAGCAGUGGGGAAUCUUAGACAAUGGGGGAGACCCUGAUCUAGCCAUGCCGCGUGAGCGAUGAAGGCCUUAGGGUUGUAAAGCUCUUUCACCGGGGAAGAUAAUGACGGUACCCGGAGAAGAAGCCCCGGCUAACUCCGUG